UAGGGAAUUUUCGUCAAUGGGCGCAAGCCUGAACGAGCGAUGCCGCGUGAGUGAAGAAGGCCUUCGGUCGUAAAGCUCUGUUGCGGGGGAAAAAGGCAGCAUCAGGAAAUGGGUGCUGACUGAUGGUGCCCCGCCAGAAAGUCAUGGCUAACUACGUGCC
Molecule: ribosomal RNA, 160 nt
Filed under: uncultured bacterium
Lineage: Bacteria
Description: partial 16S ribosomal RNA
Rfam family: Bacterial small subunit ribosomal RNA
Source: RNAcentral